RNAcentral lists this ribosomal RNA (773 nucleotides) under Bacillus tequilensis. RNAcentral's name for it is "bacterial SSU rRNA". It matches the Rfam family "Bacterial small subunit ribosomal RNA", at positions 36 to 789 of the family's 1533-position model. Lineage: Bacteria; Bacillati; Bacillota; Bacilli; Caryophanales; Bacillaceae. The record is from RNAcentral.
UUUCAAUGGCGGCUUCUAUACUGCAAGUCGAGCGGACAGAUGGGAGCUUGCUCCCUGAUGUUAGCGGCGGACGGGUGAGUAACACGUGGGUAACCUGCCUGUAAGACUGGGAUAACUCCGGGAAACCGGGGCUAAUACCGGAUGGUUGUUUGAACCGCAUGGUUCAAACAUAAAAGGUGGCUUCGGCUACCACUUACAGAUGGACCCGCGGCGCAUUAGCUAGUUGGUGAGGUAACGGCUCACCAAGGCAACGAUGCGUAGCCGACCUGAGAGGGUGAUCGGCCACACUGGGACUGAGACACGGCCCAGACUCCUACGGGAGGCAGCAGUAGGGAAUCUUCCGCAAUGGACGAAAGUCUGACGGAGCAACGCCGCGUGAGUGAUGAAGGUUUUCGGAUCGUAAAGCUCUGUUGUUAGGGAAGAACAAGUACCGUUCGAAUAGGGCGGUACCUUGACGGUACCUAACCAGAAAGCCACGGCUAACUACGUGCCAGCAGCCGCGGUAAUACGUAGGUGGCAAGCGUUGUCCGGAAUUAUUGGGCGUAAAGGGCUCGCAGGCGGUUUCUUAAGUCUGAUGUGAAAGCCCCCGGCUCAACCGGGGAGGGUCAUUGGAAACUGGGGAACUUGAGUGCAGAAGAGGAGAGUGGAAUUCCACGUGUAGCGGUGAAAUGCGUAGAGAUGUGGAGGAACACCAGUGGCGAAGGCGACUCUCUGGUCUGUAACUGACGCUGAGGAGCGAAAGCGUGGGGGAGCGAACAGGAUUAGAUACCCUG